CCCACCUGGAUCCAUUAUGGUGGAUUAGGGCUUGAAAGAAUGUGAGGGCAGGCAGAGGAUUCUGACCAUAGGAUUCUGACCAUAGGAUUCCUAGGCAUCCAUCUUUACUGUUCUUGGAAUCAAUCAUUCAGUUAGCAUCUUCUUCCUGCAGUGUUCUCUGAGCCUCAUCAGCUCACCGUCAGUUUGAACUCAGUCAUCUCCUUUUGCAUGCUCUCAGUCCUUGCAGCCAUUUUCCUUGCCAAGGGAUUUCUGUUCCUGUUGUGUCCCCGUUGUGUGUCCUGUCCUGUCUGUCCUGUGUCACGGGUGUCAGCACACAUUUGUGCCGGGGCUGCUCUGCCCUGCCGCAUAGCCUGGUGCGAUAGGAGAGGGCCCGGGGACUUGGAAUGUGUAAUGUGGGGUGCAGUUGGACUCUAGAUGGGAUUUGUAGAUGGACACAGGACAUCUGGAGCUCUUAAGUUGUCCUGCAACAGUGUGACUCUUGUCCUAACGUUUUUUUCAGAUUCAGAUGAAUUAAAUCUGGGCCAGAGGGCCCCAUCCCGGGUGAGGGGAUUCCCCCGAGCAGGAAGUGAAUCUGGAUAUCAGCAGUCAAGGUGAGCCGUGGAGAGAAGUGGUUGUUAUUGCUCAGCUCUCAAGAACAACACCUUUUUCAUCAGAUUCAUUGUGUCACAAGAGGGAUCUGCCCAGUGUCAAGGAUGAUGUUUGAGAUUGAGGCUUCAGGUGCCAGCCCUAAUAAAGGCCACAGCCUUGGAAUCAGGAUGAAGCUGGAGCCUGAGGGAGCCAGGCACACUCAGGAGAGGCUGACCGAGAAGCUCACAGGCCAAUCACAGGGCCCUCCGAGGCAGGCUCAUUUCAGGUGCAACGUGAAUGCACAUAACCCAUCGUACAAAAGAUAAGUCAGGGGCCACGGCCUGGAGAUGGGGGUGUAGCAGGUUGGGAGUUCUUGGGACAGAUUUAAAAAUUAGCGGA
Zonotrichia leucophrys gambelii is the source of this 966-nucleotide long non-coding RNA. RefSeq lists it as uncharacterized. The transcript has 4 exons. The record is from RefSeq and is a predicted model, not a curated record. NCBI's taxonomy places the organism in Eukaryota, Metazoa, Chordata, Aves, Passeriformes, Passerellidae.